UACAGAGGUCCCAAGCGUUGUUCGGAUUCACUGGGCGUAAAGGGUGCGUAGGUGGUGAGGUAAGUCGGAUGUGAAAGCUCCGAGCUCAACUCGGAAAUGGCAUUGGAAACUACCUUGCUGGAGGGUUUGAGGGGGGACUGGAAUACUUGGUGUAGCAGUGAAAUGCGUAGAUAUCAAGUAGAACACCAGUGGCGAAGGCGAGUCCCUGGAAAACACCUGACACUGAGGCACGAAAGCUAGGGGAGCAGACAGG
RNAcentral lists this ribosomal RNA (253 nucleotides) under uncultured bacterium. RNAcentral's name for it is "partial 16S ribosomal RNA". It matches the Rfam family "Bacterial small subunit ribosomal RNA", at positions 524 to 776 of the family's 1533-position model. The record is from RNAcentral.